UAACUCUAGUUGAUUAACUAACUAUCUAUAUUCAUAACAGCCUCCCUCAAACUCAACAUUGGAAAGUUUACCAAUUUGAGUUUGAAUUACAAUUAUUUUCAACAUUUAUAUUCAACAUUUAUUAUGUGAAAAAUUGCAACCUGAAACAUAGAAAAUUGUAGUGCAAGCACUGCAGUGGCACAAAAUGACAGUAAAAUCCUACAAGCUAUGACACUAAGACUUAAGAGGCCAAAGAAAAUUUCCACACUUGUUGCUGGCCUUGUGUGUCACGUAGCUUAUACAUGCCCAAUUCUAUUUUGAUUCAUCCUUCUGCAAUGUGUUGCCCCUGCCUUAUCUUCCUGUAGUUGAAUGUUCUCGAACAUUGCACAAUUGACAGAACAAUUGAAGAGAAAAUUGGUACAAAAUAUAGCACUGCA
This 416-nucleotide long non-coding RNA is filed under the name Trifolium pratense (red clover). RNAcentral's name for it is "long non-coding RNA (TPRA_LNC003991)". Lineage: Eukaryota; Viridiplantae; Streptophyta; Magnoliopsida; Fabales; Fabaceae. The record is from RNAcentral.